This 1422-nucleotide ribosomal RNA is filed under the name uncultured organism. RNAcentral describes it as "16S ribosomal RNA". It matches the Rfam family "Bacterial small subunit ribosomal RNA". The record is from RNAcentral.
AACACAUGCAAGUCGAACGGAAAGGCCCUGCUUUUGUGGGGUGCUCGAGUGGCGAACGGGUGAGUAACACGUGAGUAACCUGCCCUUGACUUUGGGAUAACUUCAGGAAACUGGGGCUAAUACCGGAUAGGAGCUCCUGCUGCAUGGUGGGGGUUGGAAAGUUUCGGCGGUUGGGGAUGGACUCGCGGCUUAUCAGCUUGUUGGUGGGGUAGUGGCUUACCAAGGCUUUGACGGGUAGCCGGCCUGAGAGGGUGACCGGCCACAUUGGGACUGAGAUACGGCCCAGACUCCUACGGGAGGCAGCAGUGGGGAAUAUUGCACAAUGGGCGGAAGCCUGAUGCAGCAACGCCGCGUGCGGGAUGACGGCCUUCGGGUUGUAAACCGCUUUCGCCUGUGACGAAGCGUGAGUGACGGUAAUGGGUAAAGAAGCACCGGCUAACUACGUGCCAGCAGCCGCGGUGAUACGUAGGGUGCGAGCGUUGUCCGGAUUUAUUGGGCGUAAAGGGCUCGUAGGUGGUUGAUCGCGUCGGAAGUGUAAUCUUGGGGCUUAACCCUGAGCGUGCUUUCGAUACGGGUUGACUUGAGGAAGGUAGGGGAGAAUGGAAUUCCUGGUGGAGCGGUGGAAUGCGCAGAUAUCAGGAGGAACACCAGUGGCGAAGGCGGUUCUCUGGGCCUUUCCUGACGCUGAGGAGCGAAAGCGUGGGGAGCGAACAGGCUUAGAUACCCUGGUAGUCCACGCUGUAAACGGUGGGUACUAGGUGUGGGGUCCAUUCCACGGGUUCCGUGCCGUAGCUAACGCUUUAAGUACCCCGCCUGGGGAGUACGGCCGCAAGGCUAAAACUCAAAGGAAUUGACGGGGCCCCGCACAAGCGGCGGAGCAUGCGGAUUAAUUCGAUGCAACGCGUAGAACCUUACCUGGGUUUGACAUGGAUCGGGAGUGCUCAGAGAUGGGUGUGCCUCUUUUGGGGUCGGUUCACAGGUGGUGCAUGGCUGUCGUCAGCUCGUGUCGUGAGAUGUUGGGUUAAGUCCCGCAACGAGCGCAACCCUUGUUCACUGUUGCCAGCACGUUAUGGUGGGGACUCAGUGGAGACCGCCGGGGUCAACUCGGAGGAAGGUGGGGAUGACGUCAAGUCAUCAUGCCCCUUAUGUCCAGGGCUUCACGCAUGCUACAAUGGCUGGUACAGAGAGUGGCGAGCCUGUGAGGGUGAGCGAAUCUCGGAAAGCCGGUCUCAGUUCGGAUUGGGGUCUGCAACUCGACCUCAUGAAGUCGGAGUCGCUAGUAAUCGCAGAUCAGCAACGCUGCGGUGAAUACGUUCCCGGGGCUUGUACACACCGCCCGUCAAGUCAUGAAAGUUGGUAACACCCGAAGCCGGUGGCCUAACCGUUGUGGGGGAGCCGUCGAAGGUGGGACUGGUGAUUAGG